UGGUCACACAGUAGUGACAGGUGGAGCCCGCCCACACCCAGUCUUCUGAUGCCACUCCUUUGCAGAGGCUGUAUGUCCUUCUCUGUCCCCGCCCCUGUGUCCUCCUCCUGCCCACCAGAACCUUCUCUGGGAUCUCCCCCUAGUUUGGUUGCUGCGGGGUCAACGGGCCUGAAGACUUUAAGUUUGCAUCUGUGUUUCGGCUCCUGACCCUGGAUAGUGAAGAGGUGCCGGAGGCCUGCUGCCGGAGGGAACCCCAAAGUCGGGACGGGGUCCUGCUGAGCCGGGAGGAGUGCCUCCUGGGAAGGAGCCUAUUCCUAAACAAGCAGGGCUGUUACACGGUGAUCCUCAACACCUUCGAGACCUACGUCUACUUGGCCGGAGCCCUUGCCAUCGGGGUAUUGGCCAUCGAGCUUUUCGCCAUGAUCUUUGCCAUGUGCCUCUUCCGGGGCAUCCAGUAGAGGGUAUGGCCUGAAGCCUGAAGACUCGCCCCACCCACCACUGCCCAGCACCCAAUGUCCUCCUGUGCCCCUCCCCGCUGUCCUCUUGGCCCCAGGGGAGAAGAUGAGGCCAUCAGAGAUGGCCAGGAGAAGGGCCAGGGGAAUAGAGCUAUUUUUUUAACAAAACAAAAUGAAGACAAAAAUAUGGACUGAUGUAUCCUCGCCUGGACUCAGGGCAGGUGCCGUGGGUUCUCCAGAGACCC
Molecule: small RNA, 700 nt
Filed under: Pan troglodytes (chimpanzee)
Lineage: Eukaryota; Metazoa; Chordata; Mammalia; Primates; Hominidae
Description: retained intron
Source: RNAcentral